UGGGCGAAAGCCUGAUCCAGCCAUGCCGCGUGUGUGAAGAAGGUCUUCGGAUUGUAAAGCACUUUAAGUUGGGAGGAAGGGUUGUAGAUUAAUACUCUGCAAUUUUGACGUUACCGACAGAAUAAGCACCGGCUAACUCUGUGCCAGCAGCCGCGGUAAUACAGAGGGUGCAAGCGUUAAUCGGAAUUACUGGGCGUAAAGCGCGCGUAGGUGGUUUGUUAAGUUGGAUGUGAAAUCCCCGGGCUCAACCUGGGAACUGCAUUCAAAACUGACUGACUAGAGUAUGGUAGAGGGUGGUGGAAUUUCCUGUGUAGCGGUGAAAUGCGUAGAUAUAGGAAGGAACACCAGUGGCGAAGGCGACCACCUGGACUGAUACUGACACUGAGGUGCGAAAGCGUGGGGAGCAAACAGGAUUAGAUACCCUGGUAGUCCACGCCGUAAACGAUGUCAACUAGCCGUUGGGAGCCUUGAGCUCUUAGUGGCGCAGCUAACGCAUUAAGUGACCGCCUGGGA
This 513-nucleotide ribosomal RNA is filed under the name uncultured bacterium. RNAcentral's name for it is "bacterial SSU rRNA". It matches the Rfam family "Bacterial small subunit ribosomal RNA", at positions 372 to 878 of the family's 1533-position model. The record is from RNAcentral.